UGCCUCUUCGAUUUUGGAGCAAGCAAUCUUGUUGGGAGUGUUUUCUCGAAUGUGAGUAAAGGUUGGGCAUGUUUGCUAGUCUACCUUGCCACGAAACACAGAGGUUGACACACAGGGACUUUCCAAUUAUCCAGCAGUGGUACUGUUCCUUUACCCUUUCUUCGAUUUUUGAGAAAGUAAUCAUGUUGGGAGUCUGGCUCUCGAGAUUCGGAGGGCGAUGCCUCUUCGAUUUUGGAGCAAGCAAUCUUGUUGGGAGUGUUUUCUCGAAUGUGAGUAAAGGUUGGGCAUGUUUGCUAGUCUACCUUGCCACGAAGCACAGAGGUUGACACACAUGGACUUUCCAAUUAUCCAGCAGUGGUACUGUUCCUUUACCCUCUCUUCGAUUUUUGAGAAAGUAAUCAUGUUGGGAGUCUGGCUCUCGAGAUUCGGAGGGCGGUGCCUCUUCGAUUUUGGGGCAAGCAAUCUUGUUGGGAGUGUUUUCUCAAAUGUGAGUAAAGGUUGGGCAUGUUUGAUAGUCUACCUUGCCACGAAGCACAGAGGUUAACACACCGGGACUUUCCAAUUAUCCAGCAGUGGUACUGUUCCUUUACCCUUGUGGGUAAUAAUAUGGUAGCUAGACCUUCAAAAUUUAUGUGUCUAAACUUUGUUAGUGUUGU
Molecule: long non-coding RNA, 656 nt
Filed under: Malus domestica (apple)
Lineage: Eukaryota; Viridiplantae; Streptophyta; Magnoliopsida; Rosales; Rosaceae
Description: long non-coding RNA (MDOM_LNC006425)
Source: RNAcentral